This 507-nucleotide ribosomal RNA is filed under the name Triticum aestivum (bread wheat). RNAcentral describes it as "partial small subunit ribosomal RNA". The record is from RNAcentral. Lineage: Eukaryota; Viridiplantae; Streptophyta; Magnoliopsida; Poales; Poaceae.
AUGAUAAGUUUUGACCAGGCUAAAUGCAGAAUGCAUGACCUCCUAAGACAACUUGCUUGUAAUAUAUCAAGAGAAGAAUGUUUUAUUGGAGAUGUUGAAACAUUAAGGGGUGGAAAUAUGUCAAAAUUGCGACGUAUUACUGCUGUUAUUAGGAAGGAUAUGUUGGUGUUACCUAGACUGGAUAAGGUGGAUGUUAAGGUGAGGACUUUCCUAACUGUUGAGGGUCCAUGGAGAAUUGAGAAUACAUUGUUCAAGACAUUUCUGCUUCUUCGUGUUUUGGUACUGAAUUACUCACUUGUACAAAGCAUCCCAGAUUACAUAGGAAAGCUGAUACAUCUACGUCUACUUAAUCUAGAUUAUACUGGCAUAUCUUGUCUUCCAGAAUCCAUUGGCUCCCUAAAGAACCUUCAAGUACUAAGCUUAAGAUGGUGUAAUGAUCUGCACAGUCUUCCUUUGCCAAUGACCCUGUUGUGCAGUUUAAGAUGUCUUAAUCUUUUGGGCACAUAA